CACCAGUGAUGCAGAGGUGACCAAGAAGAAGGAAAUAAUUUGGGCCCAACAUGAAGUGAUCUUGAGUUGGAUCCUUACAGCCUGCUCAAGAGAAAGUUGCAAGAGAUCCUUGAAUUCUUCAGGCCAUUAGCACUACUUGAUGGUUCCUUCAGAGAGACACCACCAAUAUCUGAAAGGGAUCUUCCAUUGAGAAAUAUAUACAGACAAACACACAAAUGUAUACAUUAAUAUUUGAAAAAAGAAACAGAUACAGCGAUGGAGAAGAAUGGUUCUGCAAUCUGCAAGCAACUUUCUCAAAAGCAAACCAAAAUUAGAACUUAUGAUGAGCUGAGUUGUUUCAAUCUAUCAAGGGAGAAUCAGAUUGUGGCCCAAUUCUAAAAGGCAAGACAAAUGGUGGUGUUUUAUGCCCCAACAAUGGCGGUCGUCAUUAGAUCGAGUGUGAUGCUGAAUGGUUGAAAUGUUGGAGUCAUCGAACAGCACUACACACCCAUGCUAACUAGAAGUUCUUGUCACCAGCAGAUCCAGGUACUAACUAUGAACUAAUUGAGGUGGAGAGUGUGCAUCUUAGGAGUUAGCACAUGCAUGGCUAUGAUACCAUGAGACUUCAUUCGAAAGCCAUGCCUAAAUCCUUCAUAAUCAAGAUCAUAUCCUGUAAUUGUCAGUCCAUUGAAGUGUUCCUUCAGCAACUGUGAUUACUUCUGAGGCUGGCAAAUUCCACUGGAUCGAACAGUUUUCACUGUGACAAAAGCAGAUCAAGGCUUGAAGAUUGCAUCUCAAGAAAUCUUUUUCUUUUCAUAGCUUUAAAGGUCUUAAUCCUAAAGACUGGUCUUCAAGCAGCAAUGUGAUUGAUUCUCUAUGUUUGUUGGAAGGCUUGCAUCUCAGAAAAAGACUGAAAGAGGCUGCCUCCUUUUAUUCCUUGAUCUCAUUAAAGGCGCAUUAUACUUGCUG
Molecule: long non-coding RNA, 948 nt
Organism: Musa acuminata subsp. malaccensis (wild Malaysian banana)
Lineage: Eukaryota; Viridiplantae; Streptophyta; Magnoliopsida; Zingiberales; Musaceae
Source: RefSeq, a predicted model, not a curated record